GUCUCUAUGGCGCAAUGGAUAGCGCGUGCGACUUCUAAUCGCGAGGUUGCGGGUUCGAGUCCCGCUAGAGACU
RNAcentral lists this transfer RNA (73 nucleotides) under bacterium. RNAcentral describes it as "tRNA-Arg". It matches the Rfam family "tRNA". From Rfam's summary of the family: Transfer RNA (tRNA) molecules are approximately 80 nucleotides in length. Their secondary structure includes four short double-helical elements and three loops (D, anti-codon, and T loops). The record is from RNAcentral.